Non-coding RNA from Danio rerio (zebrafish), 1492 nucleotides. The record is from RefSeq and is a predicted model, not a curated record. NCBI's taxonomy places the organism in Eukaryota, Metazoa, Chordata, Actinopteri, Cypriniformes, Danionidae.
UACAUCUGAAUUUUUUCUGCGUACGCACAUUUACAGCUUUGUGCGUACGCAAUGUUUUAGUAAGAUUUCCACGCAAGUCUUCGUACAUGAGGCCCCUGGUGUUGAGAGAAGCUUCGGUCUCCGGUCGAAUGCGCUAUGCAUAGGCCACUGCACUGACAAAUGUGGGAUCACUAUUUUUUACUGUAGGAAUGAGUAAUAACUUGUAUUUAUUUAUUUUUGUCAUUCUCCUAUUUUAGCGACAAUUGAAGUUAUCGACUUGACGGUGGAAGAAGAAGAAGAAAAGAUUGCAGAGCAACAAGAAUCAUUGCGAGAAGAAAAGUUUGAUGCAGCGCCGGGGACUUCUGUCCCUAAGAGACCAAGAAUUGUUUACAUACCAUAUGUAAAUAAAAGGCAAAAAAUUUCUGAAACUGUUGUGCAAGAAGAAUACGAUGCCGAUGAGGAUGAUGAUGAAGACGCAGAAUCAGAUCCAUGGACACCUCUUGCUAGCCCACUAAGUCCUUAUGCCAGUCCAUCAGAACCAAAUCCUUCUGUUAUUAAUUUUAAUUUAUCUGAAGAUCCAUGGUGCGAACAAGAUGCUUCCAACAGUAGUCAUCAUGAAUCAAGUCAGGGAGGCGCACAUCAUCCGAUUUACCCUUUUCAAGCACCAGUAGAAGAAGAAGAAGACCCGGAAGACAUCGAAAGAAGACCCGGAAGACGUCGAAAGACCACAGUGGCCCCAGCAGAAUCAGGAGGCCGGUAGCGACAGCAAUCACAACAAUAACAAAGACUUUUUCGAGUCGCCUGCUUAUUGUCUAAUUCGUGAAUAUCUGGACGGAUAUGGGGUAAAAAUUAAUGCUCUAUCGUAUUCUAUUGGCCAGCAGCAGCGUGUGAUAGAAAAUGUCAAGGAUUUCUUGUCUAAACAACAGCGACGUAUGGAUGAAAAAAUUGCCGAGCUUCAGCAAUUGAUGGGUAAAAGUGAACGGGAACAUCUGUUAAUAACGACACUACUCAUUUUUAUUAGCCAUUCAUUGAUGGAUGAAUAAUUCCUAAAAGGAAUAUUCUCAUCAUCUGUACGAUCGUUCAUCAUUGUACUACUUAAAAGACCAUAUUUUAUACUCUGAUAAAUGUUAUACUUGACUUACGUUUCUUAUUUUAAUCGACUUUAGUUGUUGGUCUAUAUUCAAUUUGUACUCCUUUGGCUUUCUUUUUAUUACGAACUUAGUCAUUUGUUUAGUGUUUGAGCUUUUAAAAUUGGUGUAAUACCGAUGUAUUUUGAUUCAGUUUAACAUUUUGAUGUGCUCUAAAUUGAUUUAACUGCUAGUGUUUUAACUUUUGAUGUAAUACAAAACCAUUUUCAAGUUUUAUUCUGCUUAAUAUUUUGAUGUACUCCAAAUUGCCUUAAAUGUUUAGUGUUUUAACUUUAGCUGUUGAUCUAUAUUAAAUGUUUAUUCAUUUGUGAUUGUGUUAUUCAGAACUUAGUCAAUUGUUUAGUGUUUGAGUUUAAAUUUGAUGU